This 496-nucleotide ribosomal RNA is filed under the name uncultured bacterium. Its description in RNAcentral is "partial 16S ribosomal RNA". It matches the Rfam family "Bacterial small subunit ribosomal RNA", at positions 29 to 507 of the family's 1533-position model. The record is from RNAcentral.
AUGCACGCUGGCGGCGUGCCUAAUACAUGCAAGUCGAGCGAACAGAUGAGGAGCUUGCUCCUCUGACGUUAGCGGCGGACGGGUGAGUAACACGUGGAUAACCUACCUAUAAGACUGGGAUAACUUCGGGAUACCGGAGCUAAUACCGGAUAAUAUAUUGAACCGCAUGGUUCAAUAGUGAAAGACGGUUUUGCUGUCACUUAUAGAUGGAUCCGCGCCGCAUUAGCUAGUUGGUAAGGUAACGGCUUACCAAGGCAACGAUGCGUAGCCGACCUGAGAGGGUGAUCGGCCACACUGGAACUGAGACACGGUCCAGACUCCUACGGGAGGCAGCAGUAGGGAAUCUUCCGCAAUGGGCGAAAGCCUGACGGAGCAACGCCGCGUGAGUGAUGAAGGUCUUCGGAUCGUAAAACUCUGUUAUUAGGGAAGAACAAAUGUGUAAGUAACUAUGCACGUCUUGACGGUACCUAAUCAGAAAGCCACGGCUAACUACGUG